This 637-nucleotide long non-coding RNA is filed under the name Chinchilla lanigera (long-tailed chinchilla). RNAcentral's name for it is "lncRNA (ENSCLAG00000022271.1)". Lineage: Eukaryota; Metazoa; Chordata; Mammalia; Rodentia; Chinchillidae. The record is from RNAcentral.
CGUCUCUACCCUCAUGUGUAGACUCAGCAGAGUCAAAGCCACAUCUAGCUCAGAGGACUCUGUGUUUCAGGGUCUCAUCUCUGGUCCUUUGCUGACGUCUCAUGUGUCCAGGCUAUCAUGGGUGGAGCCAUAGAGAAGCAAGGUCACAAGGUUUCAGGUUUUUUCUACACCUCAGGACAAUCACUGCCCUCAAAUACUUCAAAUACAACGGUUAUUUUGAAUUUCAUAUCAUGGAACAUAUAAGUCUGGAAAGAAAUGCAUAGAUUUAAAACAAUGACAUAUAAUUAAAAGUUCCUUGCAAACAGAUUAGACGGCAUCAUGGUAGCAGUUUGCACAAAAAUGCAUGUAUAGUGCAGUAGUAGACAGAUUUCUGAAACAUACAAAUGUCAGAAAUUGCAAAGGAAAGACCAUUUGUAUUAGUUACUGCUGGACAAGCUCCCACAGCUACUUAGGGUUGAAAGCAGAGUGGCAAAAUACCAGCAAGGUCUUUCUCAACUUACUUAAAUUGUGGCUGGAAAGUGGAGGCCAUGCUGAGCCUCUGAAGGAGGACGGGGGAAGUUGUGACACAGCUCCAUCUGGCCCAUCAUCUGAAAAGCCGGGGAGAAGGGGGCAUGGACAGAUCACAGAAUUACUGUAA